This 901-nucleotide ribosomal RNA is filed under the name uncultured bacterium. Its description in RNAcentral is "bacterial SSU rRNA". It matches the Rfam family "Bacterial small subunit ribosomal RNA", at positions 8 to 865 of the family's 1533-position model. The record is from RNAcentral.
AGAGUUUGAUCCUGGCUCAGGACGAACGCUGGCGGCGUGCCUAAUACAUGCAAGUCGAACGCACUCUCGUUUAGAUUGAAGGAGCUUGCUCCUGAUUGAUAAACAUUUGAGUGAGUGGCGGACGGGUGAGUAACACGUAGGUAACCUGCCCUAAAGUGGGGGAUAACAUUUGGAAACAGAUGCUAAUACCGCAUAAAACCUAACACCGCAUGGUGUAGGGUUGAAAGAUGGUUUCGGCUAUCACUUUAGGAUGGACCCGCGGUGCAUUAGUUAGUUGGUGAGGUAAAGGCUCACCAAGACCGUGAUGCAUAGCCGACCUGAGAGGGUAAUCGGCCACACUGGGACUGAGACACGGCCCAGACUCCUACGGGAGGCAGCAGUAGGGAAUCUUCCACAAUGGACGAAAGUCUGAUGGAGCAACGCCGCGUGAGUGAAGAAGGUUUUCGGAUCGUAAAACUCUGUUGUUGGAGAAGAAUGUAUCUGAUAGUAACUGAUCAGGUAGUGACGGUAUCCAACCAGAAAGCCACGGCUAACUACGUGCCAGCAGCCGCGGUAAUACGUAGGUGGCAAGCGUUGUCCGGAUUUAUUGGGCGUAAAGCGAGCGCAGGCGGUUUCUUAAGUCUGAUGUGAAAGCCUUCGGCUCAACCGAAGAAGUGCAUCGGAAACUGGGAAACUUGAGUGCAGAAGAGGACAGUGGAACUCCAUGUGUAGCGGUGAAAUGCGUAGAUAUAUGGAAGAACACCAGUGGCGAAGGCGGCUGUCUGGUCUGUAACUGACGCUGAGGCUCGAAAGCAUGGGUAGCAAACAGGAUUAGAUACCCUGGUAGUCCAUGCCGUAAACGAUGAGUGCUAGGUGUUGGAGGGGUUCCCCCCCUUCAUUGCCCGCACCUAACGCAUUAAGC